UGCCAAACUCUCCAUCGCAUCCUCAAUCCUAUUGCUAUUAGUUCAUGAAGCACAUCGUAACAGAAAUAUUAAGUGAUAGCCGAAUACCAAUUACAUGCAACCCAAAAUUUUGGACAAUAAUCACAAUUCCCACAUAACAGAACCAGCUUGAAAACUUCAAUGAUUUAAAAUUUUUCAGUCCCUUCUUCUUGAACAUGUCAAGUUAAGAAUUCAAAAAAAUUGAAAAACCUGAAAUCUGUAACUGAAAAACGAAUAUAUAAUUAAAA
This 266-nucleotide unclassified non-coding RNA is filed under the name Hevea brasiliensis (rubber tree). The record is from RNAcentral. Lineage: Eukaryota; Viridiplantae; Streptophyta; Magnoliopsida; Malpighiales; Euphorbiaceae.